This 645-nucleotide ribosomal RNA is filed under the name Drosophila anomalipes. RNAcentral's name for it is "partial 16S ribosomal RNA". Lineage: Eukaryota; Metazoa; Arthropoda; Insecta; Diptera; Drosophilidae. The record is from RNAcentral.
UUAGAUUUUAUUUAUUAAUUUUAUUUAUUUAAAUUUAAAGUAUUAAAAAUAAUUAUGUAGUAAAAAGUUUUAGUAUUGUUUAAAGAAAAAAUAAAUUUAAUAAUAGUUUAAUAGUAUUGUAAAAGAAAAUUGAAAUAUUUUGAAAAAUUUUUAUUAAAAAAGAAAAUUUAAUUUAUUGUACCUUGUGUAUCAGCGUUUAUUAAAUAAAAAAUAUAUAGUAUAUUUUUCUCGAUUUUAAAAGAGUUAAUAUGAUAUGAAAGUUAAUGUAAUAAAAUUAUUUUAAAUAUUGUAUUAGAAAUGAAAUGUUAUUCGUUUUUAAAGGUAUCUAGUUUUUCAAGAAAUGAAUUGAAUUCAGAAAUUGUAAAUUUAUUUAUUUUUUUAAAAAAUUAAAUAAUUUACAAUUUUAAUAUUUUAUGGGAUAAGCUAUAAAAUAAAUUUUUAAAAAUAAUAAAUAAAAUUAAUAAAUAUAUGCUUAGAAUUAGCAAUUAUUUAUAAUUAUGUUAUAAUUUAUUUUAUAAAGAUAAUUAUUUAUUAAAUUUUAAAUAUUUAUUGAAAUAUUAAUUUUAAUUUUUUUAAUUAAUUAAUAAUGAUAGAAUUAGUAUAUUGUAUUGUAAAAAUAAAUUUAAAUGAAAAGUUUAUGUAAAG